UGACGAGGUGUGGGCGUGUUGUCAACAUUCAACAUGGCGUCUCACAGGAGUCGGCUGUUUUGUUUACGGACUCUGUCGUUGAGCAUCUUCUUUUACUGCACAUAUUGCCAUUUUCAACUUGUUCUCGGAAAUGAUGUCGAUAGCUGUAAAAGUCUACGCUUGGGACAGUAUCUUUGCAAAGAACCACGGAUAGAUGAUGCCACUCAAGAACCUGCGAACUGCAAGGACAUGAUAGCUUGGGUGGAAUGCCUACCUGCUCCGAAUGUCAGCUGCCGCUUGUCCAACGGGACAGAAUUUCGGUUCAGUGGAGAGGAAGUGGGCUUCAACCAGAGCAUCCCCUGCAGGAAUGUGAGCGGUUACUCCUACAAAAUAGCAGUGGCCUUGUCCCUCUUCCUGGGGUGGUUAGGAGCUGAUCGCUUCUACCUGGGAUACCCAGCUUUAGGGCUGCUCAAGUUCUGCACUGUGGGCUUCUGUGGGAUUGGGAGCUUGGCGGAUUUCAUGUUGAUCUCAAUGCAGAUAGUGGGUCCAUCGGAUAAGUCUGACUACAUAGUGGAUUACUACGGUGCCAGACUCACACGCCUCUCCAUUACCAACGACACCUAUAGAAGAACCCAGAUCUCACCCUGAGGGUCGCAGUUGCAAAUGAGAACUUGUUCUCAACUAGCCUACCUGGUUUAAUAAAGGGUGAAAGUGAAAAACAACUACAACCUCCAUCCUCUGAAUGCUGUCAUUUGAAAUUAUGCCCCUCUUUUGGCAUCCUAUUUUUCACCCGACCAGUACAUACGGACUAUUCCGAGUCCACUUCUCCUGUCUACAUGUACCCCAAUGUCAGCAGUAGAGCCUGUGAAGCGAGACUUAGUCUCUCCUUGCUUCUUUGUCCUUCAUUCCUUGUCUUCUCCUCAAAAUGUAUUUGAAGAUCAAAUCUGAGGAGAUGAGGAUAGAGGAUACAAGGAAACAAGGAAAGACUUGAGAUUCACCCGUGGUCACAAGCUCAGGUCCCGGAGGGUUACAGUACAGGCUUUUGUUCCAACACAACAUUAGCCACACCGUGUAGCUCUCCAGUACCCGUGGGUUGAUGACCCCCACCAUAGAGCUUCAAGUCAUCGUUGUUAUACACCUAUGAGAAUCUAGAAUCUGCACUGAGAACGGUGUACUGUAAAUAUAAUGUCAUCUGUGGUUUUUGAGUAUGUCUGGCAGCAAGGGAACUAAUUGUACUGUAUGACUGUCUUUUUGCUUUCAUUUGUCAUUUGAGAUUUUUGUAAAUAAAGUGAUCAUUUAAUGAAAA
Molecule: non-coding RNA, 1285 nt
Organism: Salmo salar (Atlantic salmon)
Lineage: Eukaryota; Metazoa; Chordata; Actinopteri; Salmoniformes; Salmonidae
Source: RefSeq, a predicted model, not a curated record